RNAcentral lists this ribosomal RNA (993 nucleotides) under uncultured Corynebacterium sp. RNAcentral describes it as "bacterial SSU rRNA". It matches the Rfam family "Bacterial small subunit ribosomal RNA", at positions 505 to 1498 of the family's 1533-position model. The record is from RNAcentral. Lineage: Bacteria; Bacillati; Actinomycetota; Actinomycetes; Mycobacteriales; Corynebacteriaceae.
GUGCCAGCAGCCGCGGUAAUACGUAGGGUGCGAGCGUUGUCCGGAAUUACUGGGCGUAAAGGGCUCGUAGGUGGUUUGUCGCGUCGUCUGUGAAAUUCCGGGGCUUAACUCCGGGCGUGCAGGCGAUACGGGCAUAACUUGAGUACUGUAGGGGUAACUGGAAUUCCUGGUGUAGCGGUGAAAUGCGCAGAUAUCAGGAGGAACACCGAUGGCGAAGGCAGGUUACUGGGCAGUUACUGACGCUGAGGAGCGAAAGCAUGGGUAGCGAACAGGAUUAGAUACCCUGGUAGUCCAUGCCGUAAACGGUGGGCGCUAGGUGUGAGGGUCUUUUCACGACUUUCGUGCCGUAGCUAACGCAUUAAGCGCCCCGCCUGGGGAGUACGGCCGCAAGGCUAAAACUCAAAGGAAUUGACGGGGGCCCGCACAAGCGGCGGAGCAUGUGGAUUAAUUCGAUGCAACGCGAAGAACCUUACCUGGGCUUGACAUAUACAAGACAGGCGUAGAGAUACGUCCUCCCUUGUGGUUUGUAUACAGGUGGUGCAUGGUUGUCGUCAGCUCGUGUCGUGAGAUGUUGGGUUAAGUCCCGCAACGAGCGCAACCCUUGUCUUAUGUUGCCAGCAUUUGGUUGGGGACUCAUGAGAGACUGCCGGGGUCAACUCGGAGGAAGGUGGGGAUGACGUCAAAUCAUCAUGCCCCUUAUGUCCAGGGCUUCACACAUGCUACAAUGGUCGGUACAACGCGCAGCGACACUGUGAGGUGGAGCGAAUCGCUGAAAGCCGGCCUUAGUUCGGAUUGGGGUCUGCAACUCGACCCCAUGAAGUCGGAGUCGCUAGUAAUCGCAGAUCAGCAAUGCUGCGGUGAAUACGUUCCCGGGCCUUGUACACACCGCCCGUCACGUCAUGAAAGUUGGUAACACCCGAAGCCGGUGGCCCAAACUUGUUAGGGAGCCGUCGAAGGUGGGAUCGGCGAUUGGGACGAAGUCGUAACAAGGUA